Desulfobacterales bacterium S5133MH4 is the source of this 70-nucleotide non-coding RNA. Lineage: Bacteria; Pseudomonadati; Thermodesulfobacteriota; Desulfobacteria; Desulfobacterales. The record is from Rfam.
AAAUAAGAUUUACUGUGAGAAGUCAGCCGAGGUCGUAGUACCGGACCCAUCGACGGGGUUCGGAAAGGAC